GAGGGGUUGGUGUAAAGGUAACACAGCGGUCUUCGGAACCGUCGUUGCGGGUUCAACUCCUGCACCCCUUG
Molecule: transfer RNA, 71 nt
Filed under: Patescibacteria group bacterium
Lineage: Bacteria
Description: tRNA-Arg
Rfam family: tRNA
About the family: Transfer RNA (tRNA) molecules are approximately 80 nucleotides in length. Their secondary structure includes four short double-helical elements and three loops (D, anti-codon, and T loops).
Source: RNAcentral